AUGUGGCUCUCGGUGGAGAAGCAGUUGCCCUUGUCAGGGUGGAUCGUCUUCAUCACGGUGUCGUCAGGGACGUGGCUGAGGUCCUUCUUGGCGAUCUCGACAAAGUUGAGGAUGCUGAACUCUGCAUCGCCCAUGCUGUCAUCCUUGGUGAAAGUAUCAUGGUCAAAGACUUCCUGUAAAAGUAAUAAUGAAAGUAAAACCCCAAAGGUUGGUUUCAGGAACAGGAGAUCGACUGGAGAUGUUCAUCAGAGUAGAGUGUAUUGGGAUGGAGAUGUUGAUCGAACUUACAAUCUUAACGGGGAGCGUCCAGUUAGUGAUGGACAGGGUGAGCUCCUCGUUCCAUUCCGGCUUGGUGGAUUUAUAUUUGAUACCGGACUUCACUUUCUGCACAUGAUUACAUCUCGGUUUUAG
This 411-nucleotide ribosomal RNA is filed under the name Triticum aestivum (bread wheat). RNAcentral's name for it is "partial small subunit ribosomal RNA". Lineage: Eukaryota; Viridiplantae; Streptophyta; Magnoliopsida; Poales; Poaceae. The record is from RNAcentral.